This 322-nucleotide ribosomal RNA is filed under the name uncultured eukaryote. Its description in RNAcentral is "partial 18S ribosomal RNA". It matches the Rfam family "Eukaryotic small subunit ribosomal RNA", at positions 1470 to 1796 of the family's 1831-position model. The record is from RNAcentral.
CCCUUAGAUGUUCUGGGCCGCACGCGUGCUGCACUGAGUGGAUCAGCGGGCCAGGUUGCGCGAAAGUGUUUCCUAAUCUUGAAAUCCGCUCGUGAUGGGGAUUGACGGUUGCAAUUUUCCGUCAUGAACGAGGAAUACCUUGUAAGCGCGGGUCAUCAUCCCGCGCUGAAUACGUCCCUGCCCUUUGUACACACCGCCCGUCGCUCCUACCGAUUGAGUGGUCCGGUGAGGCUUUGGGAUCUGAGCGGAAAGAGCGUUUCGCUGUUUCUGCUCGGAAAACUCAGUCGAACCUUAUCAUUUAGAGGAAGGGGAAGUCGUAACA